CAAUAUUCCUCGGGGUGCUUUGCGCUGUAACAGGCAAAAGGCUGAGAUAAUACCCGUAGAACCUGAACAGGGUAAUGCCUGCGAAGGGAAAGGCCAGCUUUCUUUUG
RNAcentral lists this non-coding RNA (107 nucleotides) under Filimonas lacunae. RNAcentral describes it as "TPP sequence". It matches the Rfam family "TPP riboswitch aptamer (THI element)". From Rfam's summary of the family: Vitamin B(1) in its active form thiamin pyrophosphate (TPP) is an essential coenzyme that is synthesised by coupling of pyrimidine and thiazole moieties in bacteria. The previously detected thiamin-regulatory element, thi box was extended, resulting in a new, highly conserved RNA secondary structure, the THI element, which is widely distributed in eubacteria and also occurs in some archaea. Lineage: Bacteria; Pseudomonadati; Bacteroidota; Chitinophagia; Chitinophagales; Chitinophagaceae. The record is from Rfam by way of RNAcentral.